This 1403-nucleotide ribosomal RNA is filed under the name Enterobacter sp. RNAcentral describes it as "bacterial SSU rRNA". It matches the Rfam family "Bacterial small subunit ribosomal RNA". The record is from RNAcentral. Lineage: Bacteria; Pseudomonadati; Pseudomonadota; Gammaproteobacteria; Enterobacterales; Enterobacteriaceae.
UGCAGUCGGGCGGUAGCACAGAGAGCUUGCUCUCGGGUGACGAGCGGCGGACGGGUGAGUAAUGUCUGGGAAACUGCCUGAUGGAGGGGGAUAACUACUGGAAACGGUAGCUAAUACCGCAUAACGUCGCAAGACCAAAGAGGGGGACCUUCGGGCCUCUUGCCAUCAGAUGUGCCCAGAUGGGAUUAGCUAGUAGGUGGGGUAACGGCUCACCUAGGCGACGAUCCCUAGCUGGUCUGAGAGGAUGACCAGCCACACUGGAACUGAGACACGGUCCAGACUCCUACGGGAGGCAGCAGUGGGGAAUAUUGCACAAUGGGCGCAAGCCUGAUGCAGCCAUGCCGCGUGUAUGAAGAAGGCCUUCGGGUUGUAAAGUACUUUCAGCGGGGAGGAAGGUGUUGUGGUUAAUAACCACAGCAAUUGACGUUACCCGCAGAAGAAGCACCGGCUAACUCCGUGCCAGCAGCCGCGGUAAUACGGAGGGUGCAAGCGUUAAUCGGAAUUACUGGGCGUAAAGCGCACGCAGGCGGUCUGUCAAGUCGGAUGUGAAAUCCCCGGGCUCAACCUGGGAACUGCAUUCGAAACUGGCAGGCUAGAGUCUUGUAGAGGGGGGUAGAAUUCCAGGUGUAGCGGUGAAAUGCGUAGAGAUCUGGAGGAAUACCGGUGGCGAAGGCGGCCCCCUGGACAAAGACUGACGCUCAGGUGCGAAAGCGUGGGGAGCAAACAGGAUUAGAUACCCUGGUAGUCCACGCCGUAAACGAUGUCGACUUGGAGGUUGUGCCCUUGAGGCGUGGCUUCCGGAGCUAACGCGUUAAGUCGACCGCCUGGGGAGUACGGCCGCAAGGUUAAAACUCAAAUGAAUUGACGGGGGCCCGCACAAGCGGUGGAGCAUGUGGUUUAAUUCGAUGCAACGCGAAGAACCUUACCUACUCUUGACAUCCAGAGAACUUUCCAGAGAUGGAUUGGUGCCUUCGGGAACUCUGAGACAGGUGCUGCAUGGCUGUCGUCAGCUCGUGUUGUGAAAUGUUGGGUUAAGUCCCGCAACGAGCGCAACCCUUAUCCUUUGUUGCCAGCGGUUCGGCCGGGAACUCAAAGGAGACUGCCAGUGAUAAACUGGAGGAAGGUGGGGAUGACGUCAAGUCAUCAUGGCCCUUACGAGUAGGGCUACACACGUGCUACAAUGGCGCAUACAAAGAGAAGCGACCUCGCGAGAGCAAGCGGACCUCAUAAAGUGCGUCGUAGUCCGGAUUGGAGUCUGCAACUCGACUCCAUGAAGUCGGAAUCGCUAGUAAUCGUAGAUCAGAAUGCUACGGUGAAUACGUUCCCGGGCCUUGUACACACCGCCCGUCACACCAUGGGAGUGGGUUGCAAAAGAAGUAGGUAGCUUAACCUUCGGGAGGGCG